Long non-coding RNA from Mus musculus (house mouse), 484 nucleotides. RefSeq annotates it as RIKEN cDNA 4930402D18 gene. The record is from RefSeq and is a predicted model, not a curated record. The transcript is spliced from 4 exons. NCBI's taxonomy places the organism in Eukaryota, Metazoa, Chordata, Mammalia, Rodentia, Muridae.
GACAUAAAACUAGCCAGUACCAUCAGGAUAUUUCAGAAUUAUACAGAACAUCUCUGAAGCUAUGUGAACUUUCUUUUAAUAAAGCUCAUCUUUUCUAACUACUGCCAGGUCUGAACAGCAGAUGCAGGAUGAUACAGAACCAGGAAUCAAAAGAGCUGAGAGAAACUUCUCACUGCAACAGGAUGGUAAUGAGUGUUCCCAGUUAAUACAGAGACUUAUAACUGGUAAAAUUGUUGAGAAUAAAGGACAUAUUGAAAUGCUUGAUGUGCCAACUGGUGGACAGUCAUGAAUAUGACUCACAAACUGCCUUGCAUCUAGCCAGCACUAUUAACAGAGAAUUAUUAAGAAUACUGCUUCUUCUGAUAGGGUCUCUGCUUGAUUCCCACCUCUAGAUUCCUUCUUGAGUUCAUGGCCUGGCUACCCUAGAUAACUGACUAUAACCUAGAAGCUGAAGUCCUCUCCAAGCUGUUAAAAGGUCAGUGUU